This is a long non-coding RNA of Polypterus senegalus (gray bichir), 303 nucleotides long. RefSeq lists it as uncharacterized. NCBI's taxonomy places the organism in Eukaryota, Metazoa, Chordata, Cladistia, Polypteriformes, Polypteridae. The record is from RefSeq and is a predicted model, not a curated record. The transcript is spliced from 3 exons.
CACUAUCUGAUCAAAGUUCUGUGCAGUCGUCUGUGAUAUCUGAAUGAAAGUGGAUACUCCCAACUUGUCACAAAACCCACUGCUUGAAAUCCUCCAAGAUGAUGCCUAAAAUGAACCAAUUAAGAACUACAUUUAUGUUAGGGGAGUGUAUACUGUAUUCCUGUUCCGGUAUAUGGUUUAGAAGAGCAUCCCCUCACCUGUAUAGCUGAUGCUUUUAUACUUGAUUGUGAAAUGGCAUUUAGAAAGGACAGACAGAUUGCAGGAGUUCUGAUGUCAUUUCCUCUACAACCAACCUAGAAGUCC